Molecule: Y RNA, 96 nt
Filed under: Microcebus murinus (gray mouse lemur)
Lineage: Eukaryota; Metazoa; Chordata; Mammalia; Primates; Cheirogaleidae
Description: Y RNA (ENSMICG00000045300.1)
Rfam family: Y RNA
About the family: Y RNAs are components of the Ro ribonucleoprotein particle (Ro RNP), in association with Ro60 and La proteins. The Y RNAs and Ro60 and La proteins are well conserved, but the function of the Ro RNP is not known.
Source: RNAcentral
GGCUGGUCCUACAGUAGUGGGUUAUCAGAACUUAUUAACAUUGGUGUCACUAAAGUUAGCAUUCAACCCCCGACUGCUAAAUUUGACUGGCUAAAA